Molecule: ribosomal RNA, 430 nt
Filed under: Pseudomonadota bacterium
Lineage: Bacteria; Pseudomonadati; Pseudomonadota
Description: Proteobacteria bacterium partial 16S ribosomal RNA
Rfam family: Bacterial small subunit ribosomal RNA
Source: RNAcentral
UGGGGAUUAUUGGACAAUGGGGGGAACCCUGAUCCAGCCAUGCCGCGUGUGUGAAGAAGGUCUUAUGGUUGUAAAGCACUUUAAGCGAGGAGGAGGGUACUGGUAUUAAUACUACCAGGUACUGGACGUUACUCGCAGAAUAAGCACCGGCUAACUCUGUGCCAGCAGCCGCGGUAAUACAGAGGGUGCAAGCGUUAAUCGGAAUUACUGGGCGUAAAGCGCGCGUAGGUGGUUCGUUAAGUUGAAUGUGAAAGCCCCGGGCUCCACCUGGGAACUGCAUCCAAAACUGGCGAGCUAGAGUAGGGCAGAGGGGGGUGGAAUUUCCUGUGUAGCGGUGAAAUGCGUCGAUAAAGGAAGGAACACCAGUGGCGAAGGCGACCACCUGGGCUCAUACUGACACUGAGGUGCGAAAGCGUGGGGAGCAAACAGG